RNAcentral lists this ribosomal RNA (253 nucleotides) under uncultured bacterium. Its description in RNAcentral is "partial 16S ribosomal RNA". It matches the Rfam family "Bacterial small subunit ribosomal RNA", at positions 524 to 776 of the family's 1533-position model. The record is from RNAcentral.
UACGUAGGGUGCAAGCGUUGUCCGGAAUUAUUGGGCGUAAAGAGUUCGUAGGCGGUUCGUCGCGUCGGCUGUGAAAUCCCGAGGCUCAACCUCGGGUCUGCAGUCGAUACGGGCGGACUGGAGUUCGGCAGGGGAGACUGGAAUUCCUGGUGUAGCGGUGAAAUGCGCAGAUAUCAGGAGGAACACCGGUGGCGAAGGCGGGUCUCUGGGCCGAUACUGACGCUGAGGAGCGAAAGCGUGGGGAGCGAACAGG